AGUGGAAUAACUGGGUCAAAUCAUGGUUCCAUUCCAAGUUUUCUGAGGACUCUCCAUAUUGCUUUUCAGAGUGGUUGCACCAGUUUGCAGUCCCACCAGCAAU
RNAcentral lists this microRNA precursor (103 nucleotides) under Marmota monax (woodchuck). Lineage: Eukaryota; Metazoa; Chordata; Mammalia; Rodentia; Sciuridae. The record is from RNAcentral.